RNAcentral lists this ribosomal RNA (443 nucleotides) under uncultured bacterium. RNAcentral describes it as "partial 16S ribosomal RNA". It matches the Rfam family "Bacterial small subunit ribosomal RNA", at positions 338 to 795 of the family's 1533-position model. The record is from RNAcentral.
CCUACGGGGGGCAGCAGUGGGGAAUAUUGGGCAAUGGGCGCAAGUCUGACCCAGCAACGCCGCGUGAAGGAAGAAGGCUUUCUGGUUGUAAACUUCUUUUGUCAGGGACGAAGCACGUGACGGUUCCUGACGAAUAAGCCACGGCUAACUACGUGCCUGCAGCCGCGGUAAUACGUAGGUGGCAAGCGUUCUCCGGAUUUACUGGGUGUAAAGGGCGUGUAGGCGGGGAAGCAAGUCAGAUGUGAAAACCACGGGCUCAACCUGUGGCCUGCAUUUGAAACUGUUGUUCUUGAGUGCUGGUGAGGCAAUCGGAAUGCAGGGUGUAGCGGUGAAAUGCGUAGAUAUACGGAGGAACACCAGUGGCGAAGGCAGAUUGCUGAACAGUAACUGACGCUGAGGCGCGAAAGCGUGGGGAGCAAACAGGAUUAGAUACCCUUGUAGUC